CCUACGGGAGGCUGCAGUGGGGAAUAUUGGGCAAUGGGCGCAAGCCUGACCCAGCAACGCCGCGUGAAGGAAGAAGGCUUUCGGGUUGUAAACUUCUUUUCUGAGGGACGAAGAAAGUGACGGUACCUCAGGAAUAAGCCACGGCUAACUACGUGCAAGCAGCCGCGGUAAUACGUAGGUGGCAAGCGUUAUCAGGAGUUAUUGGGUGUAAAGGGCGUGUAGGCGGGAAAGCAAGUCAGAUGUGAAAACUCAGGGCUCAACCCUGGAACUGCGUUUGAAACUGUUCUUCUUGAGUGAUGGAGAGGCAGGCGGAAUUCCGUGUGUAGCGGUGAAAUGCGUAGAUAUACGGAGGAACACCAGUGGCGAAGGCGGCCUGCUGGACAUUAACUGACGCUGAGGCGCGAAAGCGUGGGGAGCAAACAGGAUUAGAUACCCCUGUAGUC
RNAcentral lists this ribosomal RNA (443 nucleotides) under uncultured bacterium. RNAcentral describes it as "partial 16S ribosomal RNA". It matches the Rfam family "Bacterial small subunit ribosomal RNA", at positions 338 to 795 of the family's 1533-position model. The record is from RNAcentral.